UACGUAGGGUGCAAGCGUUAAUCGGAAUUACUGGGCGUAAAGCGUGCGCAGGCGGCUAUGCAAGAUAGAUGUGAAAUCCCCGGGCUCAACCUGGGAACUGCAUUUGUGACUGCAUGGCUAGAGUACGGCAGAGGGGGAUGGAAUUCCGCGUGUAGCAGUGAAAUGCGUAGAUAUGCGGAGGAACACCGAUGGCGAAGGCAAUCCCCUGGGCCUGUACUGACGCUCAUGCACGAAAGCGUGGGGAGCAAACAGG
This 253-nucleotide ribosomal RNA is filed under the name uncultured bacterium. Its description in RNAcentral is "partial 16S ribosomal RNA". It matches the Rfam family "Bacterial small subunit ribosomal RNA", at positions 524 to 776 of the family's 1533-position model. The record is from RNAcentral.